UUCGUUGUAGCACCAUUUACCGCAAUACUAUUGAUUCUCGUUUCGGCUGGCAUUUUCACAAACACCUGAGGGUCACUACUCAUCCGCUUGACCGCAGCAUUUGACACAUUGAUGGCCGCCAUCCGAAUUGUUAGACUCGCUGCCGUUUUUCAGAUGAAUGAUCCGCUUUUCUGCUUGGACAAGUCUCCGUAUUUGUCGGUGAGAAUCAUCAAUUGGUGGUCGAAGAAUCAGCAUCGAUUUAUGACCAGCAGUAAGCGUGUGCAAGACCGAAGCAAGAACAAACGGGUCGAUCUGGAAAUCGCAACCGAGAAGUUGAAGAUAGCGAGCAAGGUCCUCUUUUUGAUGGAGAUUCUAAAGAAAGAGCCCGAGAUGAUCAUCCCGCUGCGCUCACUGGACCAGUACCGGAGGCAGAUUAACCUCCCAAAGCCCCACAAGAUCUCCGACUUCGUUCGCAAAGUACCGAAACUCUUUGAACUCUACAAGGACCGAAACGGCGUGGUAUGGUUCGGAAUGACGAAGCAGGCCGAGGACUUGGUCGAAGAGGAGGAGAGAAUAAUCGAGGAGAACCAAGACAAGGCCGCCGAGCAUGUCACGAGGUUUCUAAUGAUGUCCGUGGAUAAACGUCUUCGUAUAGACAAGAUUGCGCAUUUCCGAAGAGACUUUGGCUUGCCAAUUGAUUUUCGGACCAACUGGGCGCACAAGUAUCCUCAGUUGUUUAAGGUAAUCAAGUGUAAUGACGAGGAUGAGAAUGAGUAUUUGGAACUUGUUUCCUGGAACCCAGCUUGGGCUAUUACUGAGUUGGAGAAGAAGGCAAUGGCGGUGAGUGUGAGUGAGGUUAAUAUCAAUGCUCAUACUCCGGGACUGCUUUCGCUUCCUUUUCCUUUGAAAUUCCCUUCCACUUACAAGAAAGUGUAUAGAUAUGGAGGAAAGAUUGAGCACUUUCAGAAGAGGUCUUAUUUGUCCCCAUACGCGGAUGCUCGGGGACUUAAACCUGGCUCUCUAGAGUUUGACAAGAGAGCCGUAGCCGUUAUGCACGAGCUGCUAAGCUUCACUAUUGAGAAGAGACUAGUGACUGAUCAUCUCACGCAUUUUCGCCAGGAACUUGUGAUGCCCCAGAAGCUGAUGAGGCUUCUUUUGAAGCACUUUGGGAUUUUCUAUGUCUCGGAGAGGGGGAAGAGGUUUAGUGUCUUCUUGACAGAAGGUUAUGAAGGUUCGGAGCUCAUUGAGAAAGGGCCGUUAGUGCUUUGGAAGGAAAAAGUCCAGGGUCUUAUUGGUUACAGGGGAAGGAAGAAGAAGAUUGAAACUUUUAGUGACAUGUCAGACGUGGAAGAUGAUGGUCGGUUCGAGAAUGAUUCUGAGGAUGAAAACAUUGGUAUGCAAUUUGAGCUAAAGGAUACCGUCGGCAGUUUGGAGGAGGAUGCUUUGCUUAGAGACAAUGAUGAGAUGGAGAUUGGAGAGGUUUGCAGUGCAUACGAGGAUACUGAAGCAUCUUGAGAUUUUCCACAUGUUCUUUCAAAUUUAUUCCUCUAUGGUACUGGAGGAAAGCAAUGGAGACCAACAAAUUGAUGUUAAGAAUCAGAGUUGCGGGUAUGCAUUCAGAAACAGUUAAUACUCCACAUGAAGCAGAAAAAAUCCAACUUACAGUGUUGAAGGUAUUCAUGUUGCUGUUUUCACAGGAAAAUGCUGUCCUUCAUUUCCAAAACACAAACAGUCAAUCCAUGAAUUCAUUUGAAGUCCAGUGAUUGGGCAAACAGCUUCUGCCAAUUCUACCCAGUGAUUUUAUCAUUGCAUCUAAAUAUGUUGAUCUGCAAAGUAGGGCUUCUCAUUUAAAGUUCAGUGCCAAAACCUCCUUGCAAGUCGAAUCAAGCUAUUAUCAAAGGUGCAAAUCACCUACUUGCUAUAAUGGCAUCAGGCUGGCUUGAGGAACAUUUUUUUGGAGAGGUUAUGAGCUUGGUCCACCCAUACUGUGCAAUAUUAUUCUUGGAUGUAGUAAAAGUAUUAGGUUAAUUGUCCUUCGGCAGUAAGACACAAAUUGAGAAUAUCAUGCUAUUGAUUGUUCCAAAA
Corylus avellana is the source of this 2064-nucleotide RNA transcript. It is a transcript of the gene named Ubiquitin carboxyl-terminal hydrolase family protein, with no coding region annotated. Lineage: Eukaryota; Viridiplantae; Streptophyta; Magnoliopsida; Fagales; Betulaceae. The record is from RefSeq and is a predicted model, not a curated record.